RNAcentral lists this RNase P RNA (379 nucleotides) under Candidatus Omnitrophota bacterium. Its description in RNAcentral is "Candidatus Omnitrophica bacterium RNase P RNA component class A". It matches the Rfam family "Bacterial RNase P class A". From Rfam's summary of the family: Ribonuclease P (RNase P) is a ubiquitous endoribonuclease, found in archaea, bacteria and eukarya as well as chloroplasts and mitochondria. Its best characterised activity is the generation of mature 5'-ends of tRNAs by cleaving the 5'-leader elements of precursor-tRNAs. Lineage: Bacteria; Pseudomonadati; Candidatus Omnitrophota. The record is from RNAcentral.
GGCGCGAGUCGGAUGGUUACCUCUGGUAAUGCCAGGGGAGGAAAGUCCGGGCUCCACAGGGCAGCGUAGCGGGUAACGCCCGUCUCCCUCGCCGCUCAUUGUUAAUUUAGGGCGGCUCGGGACGGACCAGAGCCACAGAGACGAGUCUGGGAGGCGCAGUAGCAACGUAACAGGCUUAAGCAUGCGUUGCUGUCUCUCAGGGUGAAACGCGGCAAUCUCUACGCGGAGCAAAACCAAAUAGGUCCUGCUGAUAGAAUGGCCCGUUCAAAAGGGCAGGACGGGUAGGUUGCAUGAUCAUGGCAGCAAUGCCAUGGCUAGAUAGAUGACCAUCGUCCGCCAAAGGCGGACACAGAACCCGGCUUAUAGACUCGCGUCUUUA